RNAcentral lists this ribosomal RNA (229 nucleotides) under uncultured bacterium. RNAcentral's name for it is "partial 16S ribosomal RNA". It matches the Rfam family "Bacterial small subunit ribosomal RNA", at positions 568 to 796 of the family's 1533-position model. The record is from RNAcentral.
CGCGUAGGCGGGUUUGUAAGUCAGAGGUGAAAUCCUACAGCUUAACUGUAGAACUGCCUUUGAUACUGCAGAUCUUGAGUUUGGAAGAGAGAGACGGAAUUCCAGGUGUAGUGGUGAAAUACGUAGAUAUCUGGAAGAACACCAGUGGCGAAGGCGGUCUCUUGGUCCAUAACUGACGCUGAGGCGCGAAAGCGUGGGGAGCAAACAGGAUUAGAUACCCUGGUAGUCC